This is a long non-coding RNA of Oenanthe melanoleuca, 447 nucleotides long. RefSeq lists it as uncharacterized. The transcript is spliced from 3 exons. The record is from RefSeq and is a predicted model, not a curated record. NCBI's taxonomy places the organism in Eukaryota, Metazoa, Chordata, Aves, Passeriformes, Muscicapidae.
UUAAGUUAUCAGCUAAAAAGUGGCAUUUCAAUGGCACUGUUUCUGUAUUAAGGAUGUGAAAAGUGACUGCAUUUGUUUUGUACAAUGUAUUUCUCACAGUAGCACACAAAGGGCUCAGCUUUCUGUUUUGCAGCAGGAAGCAGUUGCUCAGCUCAGUGAAGUAAUGAACAAGCUGCUAGCUGACAGUGCAUAUGACUUGGAUCUUGCUUCUGGAACUUAAAAGGUGCUGCAGGUGUGUGCUGCCUGCUUUGCUCAGGCCUUCAUGCUCACCUCCAGCCCGGGGCAGCUUUGCUCACUGGGCCUUGAGUCUGGGAAGAGCAGCCAGGAGGAGUGGCUGGGAUGCUCCAGGCUGGCAGCAGAGAACUGGACACGGUUCAGAAGAUGGAAUGUCAUGGAAAUACAUACAAGAGAGAAGGAAUUUCUAGUUGUACAUUACAUUACAAAGAG